GAUGAACGCUGCGGCGUGCCUAAUACAUGCACGUCGAGCGAACAGAUGAGGAGCUUGCUCCUCUGACGUUAGCGGCGGACGGGUGAGUAACACGUGGAUAACCUACCUAUAAGACUGGGAUAACUUCGGGAAACCGGAGCUAAUACCGGAUAAUAUAUUGAACCGCAUGGUUCAAUAGUGAAAGACGGUUUUGCUGUCACUUAUAGAUGGAUCCGCGCCGCAUUAGCUAGUUGGUAAGGUAACGGCUUACCAAGGCAACGAUGCGUAGCCGACCUGAGAGGGUGAUCGGCCACACUGGAACUGAGACACGGUCCAGACUCCUACGGGAGGCAGCAGUAGGGAAUCUUCCGCAAUGGGCGAAAGCCUGACGGAGCAACGCCGCGUGAGUGAUGAAGGUCUUCGGAUCGUAAAACUCUGUUAUUAGGGAAGAACAAAUGUGUAAGUAACUAUGCACGUCUUGACGGUACCUAAUCAGAAAGCCACGGCUAACUACGUG
Molecule: ribosomal RNA, 496 nt
Filed under: uncultured bacterium
Lineage: Bacteria
Description: partial 16S ribosomal RNA
Rfam family: Bacterial small subunit ribosomal RNA
Source: RNAcentral